This 253-nucleotide unclassified non-coding RNA is filed under the name Nitrospira sp. RNAcentral describes it as "partial 16S ribosomal RNA". It matches the Rfam family "Bacterial small subunit ribosomal RNA", at positions 524 to 776 of the family's 1533-position model. Lineage: Bacteria; Pseudomonadati; Nitrospirota; Nitrospiria; Nitrospirales; Nitrospiraceae. The record is from RNAcentral. RNAcentral also lists the same sequence under 1 other name.
UACGAAGGUGGCAAGCGUUGUUCGGAUUUACUGGGCGUAAAGGGUGCGUAGGCGGUUCGGUAAGACCGAUGGGAAAGCCCGGGGCUUAACCCCGGAAGGUCAUCGGUGACUGCCGGGCUAGAGGACGGGAGAGGAGCGCGGAAUUCCCGGUGUAGCGGUGAAAUGCGUAGAGAUCGGGAGGAAGGCCGGUGGCGAAGGCGGCGCUCUGGAACGUUCCUGACGCUGAGGCACGAAAGCGUGGGGAGCAAACAGG